UUGCAUUGUCUGCCUAAAUACUUCAAAGUACUCAGCUAAAGCUGAACUUUUAUUUCUUUACCAGUAGUAGCAAUAGUCAUAGCUGUAGCCCUGGUGACAGAAAAGCAGUAAAAUGUGUGAAAGCCAAUACCUAAGCCUCUUAACCAGAGUAUUAAAUUGUUCUUUGCUAUGUGGACCUGAAGAAAGGAAAGGAGUAGAGACUGUGGUUGAUGGGUUUUUAUGGACUUUCUUGAAUCAUAGCACAUGUUAAUCCAAGACCUGAAGUUUUCAGGCAUCAAGAAAAGAGGAGAAAUAUCAUGUUUCUCCAUUAAUUCUUGCUGUUUAAUUAGCCAAGCUGUUUGGGUACAACCUCCAGAAGGAAAAAUAAUUGGGAUCAACAGACAGCAGUAAAGGCAACAAAAUUUUACAUUUUGGAUGGUCAGCACAUGGUGUGUUGCAUGAAAAUGUGAUUUUGGAAAUUGGUUUAAGAUCAGAAAACUGCCUAUGUUUGAGAAAUUAUGAGCUUUUUGGAGAAGGAAUUGUAUUAUUUGCUGCUGUGCUGAAGGUCUGGCCUCAGGAAAAGGGAAAGUUCCCUGACCUGCAUGGAGGGAGUGCCCACAGGCUAGUAUUGGGGACGUGGGAGUCCAUGUACAACAAUAGCAAUAAUUGCAAAGUGGUUCAGACAAAGUGA
Molecule: long non-coding RNA, 670 nt
Filed under: Taeniopygia guttata (zebra finch)
Lineage: Eukaryota; Metazoa; Chordata; Aves; Passeriformes; Estrildidae
Description: lncRNA (ENSTGUG00000028471.1)
Source: RNAcentral